GCUUCAAGAUGUAACUCUUUGGACUUGAAUAUGAAGAGAAAAGGGAUAAAAAGGCCCCUUCAAGGCUGAAAUUUCAUGACGUGGACUGUGUAGUCUAUGACUGCUUCCAAGAAAACAGAAUUGACCCCUGUUGUACCAUGAUUUUUCUGACAGUGAAAUGGGAAGGCCAUGAGGUCAGGCAACCAGAAGCUACAACUCCCCAGAAGGUGUUUUCCUGGACAAGAUCUGAGAACUAAAUAUAAACUGAGCAAGACACUGCAUUCCUACAGAGUCCUCCAGUUGUCUGGGCAGAAAUCAAAAACACAGGAUGCCUACUCAGCCACAAGGGACAGCUGGUGCAUGAGACGGCAUCAAGUACCUUACAAAGAUUUACAUUUGGAGCAUUCAUGGAAUUUUCAAUGUAUCCGGAGACCUUAAGCUAAGCAUCAGGAAGACAGAAGGAAAUCAUGCAUGGUCACUCAGAAGAGGCAAAAACAUAAUGAGGUGAUUAGAACCUGAGGAACUCAAAACAGAGACAACUAUACAGACUAAGAUAGAAACAGCAUAAAAUGGUAAAAAGAGAAUCUAGAAGGAUUCACAGAAGAGAAAGCAUUUAAGGUUGGCUUUGACUGACAAGAAGCUCAUGGCAUGAUGGCGUGGGAGACAGAGCAAGUGAUGACCAAAGGUAAGAAUGUGCUUCAUGCUUGUGGAAAAUUCUGGAUUGUUAGAGUUUCCAUUUAUGAUACACCCUCUCAAAUCACCCUUUCUCAGCUCUCAAUACUAUAAUCAUCUCCUUGGUCACUCACACCAAAUCCCUACUAGUCACAUUUGGGUUUUUUUUUUUUUAUGUUUUUGUUUUUUGUUUUUUGUUUUCUUUGAGACAG
This is a long non-coding RNA of Fukomys damarensis (Damara mole-rat), 863 nucleotides long. RefSeq lists it as uncharacterized. The transcript is spliced from 6 exons. NCBI's taxonomy places the organism in Eukaryota, Metazoa, Chordata, Mammalia, Rodentia, Bathyergidae. The record is from RefSeq and is a predicted model, not a curated record.